CAAGUCGAACGAAUCCCAUCUGGGUAACUGGGUGGGGGAAGUGGCGAAAGGGGCAGUAAGGCAUGGGUAACCUGCCUCGGGGAUGGGGAUAGCCCUCCUAACGGAGGGGUAAUACCCAGCGAUCUGGCGGAGGGGCAUCUCUCUGUCAGGAAAGGAAUUUUGCCUCGAGAGGGGCCCAUGUGGUAUUAGCUUGUUGGUGAGGUAACGGCUCACCAAGGCCAAGAUGCCUAGCAGGUGUGAGAGCACGACCUGCGCCACUGGCACUGCGACACUGGCCAGACUCCUACGGGAGGCUGCAGUCGAGGAUCUUCGGCAAUGGGCGCAAGCCUGACCGAGCGACGCCGCGUGUGCGAUGAAGGCCUUCGGGUUGUAAAGCACUGUCGAGGGGGAGAAAGCUCCGCAAGGGGUUGAUCUAUCCCUGGAGGAAGCACGGGCUAAGUUCGUGCCAGCAGCCGCGGUAAGACGAACCGUGCGAACGUUGUUCGGAAUCACUGGGCUUAAAGGGCGCGUAGGCGGGCGGUCAAGUCUGUGGUGAAAUCCUUCGGCUCAACCGGAGAAUAGCUGGAGAUACUGGCCGUCUCGAGGGGGGUAGGGGCAUGUGGAACUUCCGGUGGAGCGGUGAAAUGCGUAGAUAUCGGAAGGAACGCCGGUGGCGAAAGCGACGUGCUGGACCCUUUCUGACGCUGAGGCGCGAAAGCCAGGGGAGCAAACGGGAUUAGAUACCCCGGUAGUCCUGGCCCUAAACGAUGGGUACUAGAUUGUGGACUGACAUGGGUUCACAGUCGAAGCAAAAGUGUUAAGUACCCCGCCUGGGGAGUAUGGUCGCAAGGCUGAAACUCAAAGGAAUUGAC
This 851-nucleotide ribosomal RNA is filed under the name uncultured Planctomycetota bacterium. RNAcentral describes it as "bacterial SSU rRNA". It matches the Rfam family "Bacterial small subunit ribosomal RNA", at positions 58 to 914 of the family's 1533-position model. The record is from RNAcentral. Lineage: Bacteria; Pseudomonadati; Planctomycetota.